RNAcentral lists this ribosomal RNA (232 nucleotides) under uncultured Fusobacterium sp. RNAcentral describes it as "partial 16S ribosomal RNA". It matches the Rfam family "Bacterial small subunit ribosomal RNA", at positions 125 to 354 of the family's 1533-position model. The record is from RNAcentral. Lineage: Bacteria; Fusobacteriati; Fusobacteriota; Fusobacteriia; Fusobacteriales; Fusobacteriaceae.
CUNGCCUCAUAGUCUGGGACAACAUUUGGAAACGGAUGCUAAUACCGGAUAUUAUGCUUUCUUCGCAUGGAGGAAGUAUGAAAGCUAUAUGCGCUAUGAGAGAGCUUUGCGUCCCAUUAGCUAGUUGGUGAGGUAACGGCCCACCAAGGCGAUGAUGGGUAGCCGGCCUGAGAGGGUGAACGGCCACAAGGGGACUGAGACACGGCCCUUACUCCUACGGGAGGCAGCAGGC